AUGAUUUUACAUUAAGAGCAGUAACUGCUUAGGUUGCUAAUGAUUGUAUUGAUCACAGCAUCUGAAUAGCAUAAGUUUACAGCUGUUCAGACAUUAAUAGUUCCUUGCCUUUGUAUUAAAUGAUAGUGUUUAUAGAUAAGUAAGUUUUGAGAUCUCGAGGCUUGAUUCAGAUCUCAUUUCCCACCAGCACUAAACUAGCAUACCCCUAUUGGUUGGAAGACAGUUUUUCCAGGUUUAUCCCUGUGUGUAAGGCACCAAUCCAUCCUCUGGGAUUUUUACUGCUGUCAUAUAUUAAUGUAUGCUGUAUCUAGCUUGUCAUUUUCUUUAUCCUUCUUUGCUCUCUGAGUUUAUGAGUUAGAUUUCUGCAUAAAAUGUCAUCAUAUAACAUUGUGCUUUAAAAAGCUUGUUACUUAUUAGAAGUGUGAGUUUGCACUGCUGGGGACAUUUUAUUUUCCCACCAGGAAAAUGAAAAUGUCAUUGAGGUUUAAGCAGACCCCUGAGCUUUUCAGACAGAAGAAAAUUGUUUUUAGGAUUCCCUGCAGGACCUGGUAGCCUUUGUGCACAUACCGUACGUCUGAAAUACGAUCUCCCCCUCAUUUAUCCCCCCCAUCAUGCAAUGACAUGAUACUGCACAUUAAGGCUCCCAGUUCCACUCUAUUACUUUGUUUGUUGAAAGAUGUGACACUGGAGCUAUGAAAUUAUCCUGGCAGGAGUCAUCACUACACUUCGUAGCUGCUGCUGCAAGAGCUAGAUUGCUACCCCAGGUACAGCCCUGAGCAAGGAAUCAUGUAUAAAAAGUUCCUGUUUCUUUCUCCUAGAAUAACUUAGAGGCACAGUGUUGCAGACUUGCAAGGAUUUCCCCACUCCGUCCAAUUUAGAUCACAACUGACUCUCCGCAGAUGGCUGUGCUGAGGUGCAAAUCCUCUCCAGGCCUCUACAAAGGAUUCUACCAUACUGUAUCAAACAGUAGGAAGAUGAACUGUAAGGAGAUUUCCAGUGGCAAAUAACCUCAGAAAGGAGUCUCAGCUAACAGUGUAACAGAGCACUUUAAUUUGGCCCAGAGAAGAUAAGGAAGAGGAAGUGAUCUACUUGAACUGGCAGAGCAGUUAAAGGCAUUAGUAAAGGAAGAUAAAGAUACCAGGAAAAUAAUUUUGAGCUGGCCAAACACAAAGAGAGGAUUCUUUAUAGCAUAUUGGAGAAAAAUAUUAACCCUGAAGCAACUCCAUUGCACCUGCAGCUAAUGAACUAGUUGAUAUUAAUUCAUAAAUAGGUAAGUAUUUAAUAAAUAUUAGUGUUCAGUAUAUGGGAAGAAUAAU
Molecule: long non-coding RNA, 1316 nt
Filed under: Anser cygnoides (Swan goose)
Lineage: Eukaryota; Metazoa; Chordata; Aves; Anseriformes; Anatidae
Description: lncRNA (ENSACDG00005015358.1)
Source: RNAcentral